Molecule: long non-coding RNA, 380 nt
Filed under: Anser brachyrhynchus (Pink-footed goose)
Lineage: Eukaryota; Metazoa; Chordata; Aves; Anseriformes; Anatidae
Description: lncRNA (ENSABRG00000010756.1)
Source: RNAcentral
CUUUCAGCACCUGCUGGUUUGUCAUAGGUUUUAGUAUCCCUAAUGUGUUCACAAGAAAAGCUGAUGAUUAAAAUAAGUAGAUUUUGAAGAUCACAGAGAAGUCUGAAUGGAUGGGGACUCAGGAAUUACUUUACAUUCAAGUCCAUAUUUGAGGAACUGAAGUAAAAACGGACUCUUUGGGAUUUGGUUUAAGUGAUGGAUGAACAGAGUGGGAAAUAAAGGAGUAGAUUCUGUCAUCCCAAUGAAAAAAAUAUGGAGUACUUUAAUCUGCUAAGAGGGCUCCAGCCUGCAAGAAGGGCAUUCCUCUGCUGCAGGACGGAGUUCAGAGACAAGUGAAUCGGAGUCCUACUGGCGUAAUUCAUAGGCUGGAGUCAUAAAGC